ACUGUAGCUCAGUGGUCAGAGCUCUGUUCUUGUAAACCAAGGGUCGUGAGUUUAUUUUUCAUUAUAUGUA
Non-coding RNA from Caerostris darwini, 70 nucleotides. Lineage: Eukaryota; Metazoa; Arthropoda; Arachnida; Araneae; Araneidae. The record is from the annotation of a GenBank genome assembly.